This is a long non-coding RNA of Entelurus aequoreus (snake pipefish), 397 nucleotides long. RefSeq lists it as uncharacterized. Lineage: Eukaryota; Metazoa; Chordata; Actinopteri; Syngnathiformes; Syngnathidae. The record is from RefSeq and is a predicted model, not a curated record. The transcript is spliced from 5 exons.
CAGAAUGCGACGGCAAAGAAGGGCAAAGGGAAGUGUACAAAGGAAAGGGACAGUGAGAGUGGCCAGGAAGCGACGGCGAAGAAGGGCAAAGGGAAGUGUACAAAGGAAAAGGACAGUGAGAGUGGCCAGGAUGCGACGGCAAAGAAGGGGAAAGGGAAGUGUACAAAGGAAAGGGACAGUGAGAGUGGCCAGGAAGCGCGAAGAAGAAAAAAGGGAAAGGGAAAAGAACUAAGCAAACGGACUAUAGUGAGACCAGUGAGCAUUGAGCAGGAAGAGAACCAACAAGAAGGGUCAGGAGUACACUGACGCGCACGACCAAGACCACUGCAUUCCAUUUCUAUUGUAUUAUAAUUAUCACUAAUAAAGAAUUAAUUCUGUUGAAAUCACUAAUCGCUAU